Termitomyces sp. T159_Od127 is the source of this 82-nucleotide non-coding RNA. The record is from the annotation of a GenBank genome assembly. NCBI's taxonomy places the organism in Eukaryota, Fungi, Basidiomycota, Agaricomycetes, Agaricales, Lyophyllaceae.
GCAUUAAUGGGGUAGUGGUAACCUGGGUCGUUGCCAUUCUCAUUAUCUCGACCCGCCGGGGGUUCGAUUCCCCCUUAAUGCA